CAAUAGUCGUUGAUUUCUCCCUCUCGUUAGCUUGUCAAUCCUGUCGCCAUCUGAACUUUUAAGCAUUCUUCGUGCUUAACGUUGGACCCGGCUACUGCUAUCAAGAUUCUUUUUUUUUUUACAAAGAAACAAAAAUUUAUUAAAUUAGCUGCAAACCACUGCAAUGAGAGUAUAUAGAUAGUCCUUUACAGACAAUAGAGCCGAAACAAUUGGACAACUGCUACCAUGGUGCAUGUUUCAAACAAGAAACUUUGAAAGGCUCGCUCUUGGCUCAUACGUUUCAAGGCUUUCGGUUAAGAGCCCGCCCCUAUAGAUAGGCUCGGAGCUCAGUUGACCCAUUAUUGUAGUCACGUAAAGAGUUUUAGUCUAUUACUUCUCUCUCCCCUUGCUUAGGCCUUGUUUAGAUACACCCAAAAACCCAAAAUUUUACAAGAUUCCCCGUCACAUCGAAUCUUGCGGCACAUGUAUGGAGCAUUAAAUAUAGAUAAAAAUAAAAACUAAUUACACAGUUUGUCUGUAAAUCGCGAGACGAAUCUUUUAAACCUAGUUACUCCAUGAUUGGACAAUGUUUGUCAAAUAAAAACGAAAGUGCUACAGUGUCAAAAUCCAGAAAGUUUUUGGAUCCCUUAGUCGUGUUGAAGCUGAGUGGGCGAGCAGUGACAUCUCUCCAACAUGCGCUCACGCUAUCUACCUCCCCCUCCCUCACUUAAAAGCUAUAGUUUGGUUUUGACUAAUUGACGAAAUAUACUGGACUAACCCUAUGCUCAAAGUGUGUGAAUGAGAUAGGUUUGUCCAAAUCCAAGUGAUGGAGAGCUAGGUGGCAAUCAAGUGAUAGAGAUGGCCAAAAGAUGG
Molecule: long non-coding RNA, 852 nt
Filed under: Sorghum bicolor (sorghum)
Lineage: Eukaryota; Viridiplantae; Streptophyta; Magnoliopsida; Poales; Poaceae
Description: long non-coding RNA (SBIC_LNC003400)
Source: RNAcentral